GGAUGAACGCUGGCGGCGUGCUUACCACAUGCAAGUCGAACGAUGAAGCCCAGCUUGCUGGGUGGAUUAGUGGCGAACGGGUGAGUAACACGUGAGUAACCUGCCCUUAACUCUGGGAUAAGCCUGGGAAACUGGGUCUAAUACCGGAUAGGAGCGUCCACCGCAUGGUGGGUGUUGGAAAGAUUUAUCGGUUUUGGAUGGACUCGCGGCCUAUCAGCUUGUUGGUGAGGUAAUGGCUCACCAAGGCGACGACGGGUAGCCGGCCUGAGAGGGUGACCGGCCACACUGGGACUGAGACACGGCCCAGACUCCUACGGGAGGCAGCAGUGGGGAAUAUUGCACAAUGGGCGCAAGCCUGAUGCAGCGACGCCGCGUGAGGGAUGACGGCCUUCGGGUUGUAAACCUCUUUCAGUAGGGAAGAAGCGAAAGUGACGGUACCUGCAGAAGAAGCACCGGCUAACUACGUG
This 467-nucleotide ribosomal RNA is filed under the name uncultured bacterium. RNAcentral describes it as "partial 16S ribosomal RNA". It matches the Rfam family "Bacterial small subunit ribosomal RNA", at positions 27 to 507 of the family's 1533-position model. The record is from RNAcentral.